This 2746-nucleotide long non-coding RNA is filed under the name Homo sapiens (human). RNAcentral's name for it is "HSALNT0339868". The record is from RNAcentral. Lineage: Eukaryota; Metazoa; Chordata; Mammalia; Primates; Hominidae.
CAAGCAUGGCUUUGUUUUCGAGUUAUUUAUGUAUGCAGAUUUCAGCCUUCUGGGUGAGCUUUCCUGCCGCUGAGUAUCACAGAUUGUUCCAACACUCACUUUCAUCAUUUCCUUCACGAGGAAAGAGGCCCACGAAGGUUAAAUGACUUAUAUGAGGUCACAAAGUCACUUGGAGACAAAAUCAGCAGUAGGAUCUCGGUUUCCAGCCCAGUGCAAUUUCUGCUCUAUCCCGCUGACCUCAUUGUUGAGAAACCCUACGUUGAUGUCAGAAUGCUGGACACCGCAAAGCUCUGGGAAGCAUCUUAUAACAACGGCUCAACCAUUUCCUCUUCAAAUGUACUGCUUAAUCACAUAAGUUCCUGAUACGGUUUGGCUGUGUCCGCACUCAAAUCUCAUGCUGAAUUGCAGUUCCCAUUAUCCCUAUGUGUCCUGGGAAGGACCCGGAGGGAGGUAGUUGAAUCAAGGGGGCGGUUACCCUCAUGCGGUUCUCGUGAUAGCAAGUGAGUUCUCACGAGAUCUGAUGGUUUUAUAGAGGCUUUCCCCUCCUUCCCUCUGCACUUCUCGCUGCUGCCACGUCGCAAAGGAAGUGUUUUCUUCUCCUUCCGCCAUGAUUAUAAAUUUCCUGAGGCCUCCCCAGCCCUGCGGAACUGUGAGUCAAUUAAAUCUUUUUCUUUAUAAAUUACCCAAUCGUAGGUAUGUCCUUAUAGCAGUGUGAGAACCGACUAAUACAGUUCCUUAGGAAGCCCCUGCUGGGUAUGGAUGGGGAGUGAAGCAAGGUGGGCCCAGAAGCUGCCGCUGGCUGAGAGACCAUGAAGAAAGUGUAUAGAAUCUCCACCAUCACCAGAGGAAGAGAGCUUGGCAGGAAAGUUACUUCCAUGAAUGGAUGAGUUGAAGUGAACAGCGUCUUGGGCAAAACUGAAGGGUAGUUAGUCGGGUUUGUCUCUGGUGGGCUUUCAGCUCCACUCCCUGCAUCCCAUUCCCACAUCGUGAUGGUCCCCUCAUAGGCCCAGGGCUACCACCUUGGAGCAUAGGUGGGGAUCCUCCAGCCAGGGUCCUUCCUUCACAGGGAGUCAGAGCCCUCUGCUCCGGAAUUGCCCUGCCCCAGGUCGGCCAUCUAUCAAAAGCCCCACUAUCCCCUAAAGACCCACCCUCAAGCAGCAGAUGUGCAGCAAGGGAGCCGCAAAUGUCAUUCCUGUGACCCCGAAGCAGUCUAGUGUGUUACCUCUCUCAGGGCUGCUAUGGGCUGAAUUGCUUUUCCCCAAAAUUUCUAUGCUGCUUCCCUAACCCCCAGCGCCUCAGAAUCUAACUCUGGAUAGGACCUGUGAAUAAGUGAUUAAGUUAAAAUGGGGUCCUGUGGAUGGGCCCUAACCCAAUCUGACUGGUGUCCUUUUAAGAAGAGGAAGAGACACCAGAGAUGUGCACACUCAGAGACAAGACACAUGAGGACACAGAGACAAGGCGGCUACCUGCAAGCCAGGGAGAGGGGCCUCGGGGAAGCCAACCCUGCCUACGCCUUGAUCUUGGACUUCCAGCCUCCAGAACUCCAGAAUCUGAGUGAAAUGGGUAUAAAUCAUGAGCUAGGAUACAGUUCAAUUAUUCCUAUGAUGAAAAGAUUUUGGUGUUUGUGGGAAUUCUUGGAACCAAUUCCCUGUGGGUACCGAGGAGCACCUGUACAUGUCACAUGUUGCGUAUUCAUUCAUCGGUGGGUGGACACUGCAGCAGUCUCCAUCCCUUGCCUACUGUGAAUAACGCUGAGCUUUCUCCGCAUGUGGGACUCUCGGCCUCAUUAUGAGUGGCAUCUUUGACAAUCCAGGGCCCAUUAAAAACACCUUGAAGAAAGCAUUCACCAUGCUGUGGAGCUUCACAGUCUAUACCAGGCUGGAAUCCUUGAGGGUGGCAUUAUCAAAUGAGGAAAUGGUUCCUUUCAUUUUUCAUCUGAAGACUCAGACAGCAAACAUGUUAUCUGGCCCUAUAAGCACCCCGAUGCUUCUGUGAAACCCAAGCAAGUUCUGCAUCACCACGACAGCCGCGGAUGUCAAAUCAUCAAAACAGCAGCAGAGGAAGGGGUUUAUUCCUCCUCCAAAUCUUCAGCUGGUUUUAUAGGGUUACCAGUUUAAAGUUUCUUUGUUUUCAGAGCAUCAGACCUCCCAUUUGUAGCUGAUAGCCAUUUUUCAAAGGUUUCUGGCUCACCCAGGAAUUCAUUAGGGUGGACGAGAAAAGAACAGUGGAUAGAAUAGACCAGCAGGGCAAUCUAAGCCCCAUUCCCUGUCUCUUUACAUUGGUUCUUGGUCCCCGUGACUCAUCCAAACUCCCUUAUAUUCCUAUCUGGAAUGCGAAAGCUGGAAAUACAAGUGCUCUGUAAUCACAGGCAGUGGUUUUCUUGGAGUCUGGUGUGAUUUCUGUAGCUUGCAGCAAUAUGUGGGACACACUUGCACUGAAGAAUUUAAUGACUUGUUUUACUGCUGUCUGCCAUCAAUAUUUAUCUAUAUUAACUGAAGAAAGGCAUUACUCGAAAUGGCAUUUCACACCUCUGAGCAUUAUACAGUAAUUCUAAAGUCAUACGUUGUACCAAAUUCUCUGGGCAAACACAGAGAUACAGUAUGAAUGGAAAGAAUCCAAGUUGAAGUUUUUAAAACUUGAAUUGUCUGCAGUAAUCUGGAAAACCAAAGUCAAAAUGACUCGAAUUGCUAUGGCUGGGAAUGACUGGAUUAAAAGCAAUGGAAACAAUCGUUUCUCGGCUUGGUUU